GAAGCGAGCCCUGAGAUGAGUCUUCCCUGAUACUUUAAGUAUCCUAAAGGGUUGUCGGAGACUACGACGUUGAUAGGUCAGGUGUGUAAGUGCUGUGAGGCAUUGAGCUAACUGAUACUAAUUGCCCGUGAGGCUUAACCAUACAACACCCAAGGGGUUU
This 160-nucleotide ribosomal RNA is filed under the name Vibrio parahaemolyticus. RNAcentral describes it as "partial 23S ribosomal RNA". The stretch from base 1 to 142 matches the Rfam family "Bacterial large subunit ribosomal RNA", at positions 2789 to 2925 of the family's 2925-position model. The record is from RNAcentral. Lineage: Bacteria; Pseudomonadati; Pseudomonadota; Gammaproteobacteria; Vibrionales; Vibrionaceae.